AUGGGGAAUUUCAGGCCUGAGGCGCCGGGUUUGGCACUGGAGCCAAGACAGGGGCUCCCAGCUGUCCCUUGGCACGGGAAUGGCACGAGGAUCACGCCGGGCCCCGUGAAUGGCUGGGAACAUCCCCAAACUGCUCCAAUUCCAGCUUUACCAGGGAAGUGGAGCUGGCAGACCCAGGUGUCCCUGCUGGCCUCAGCCCUCGGGACAACCCCAUCCCGGCUUUCCCGAUCCUCAGGGCUGAGGGAAAGGAAUGUGGGGUCUACAGGGGACAGAGAAGAUCCUUCCAGUGGUGAAUUAAUGAAACGUAAAGCAAGGAAAAGCUCCUGGGACAACGGGAACUGCCAGCUCAGGAGGAAACACCAGGAUGUUGGGGACAUCUCUUGGGUCAGGGAGAGCCAAAUGAAGGGAUCUGACGGGACAGAGAGGACACGGCUCCACAGCCCUGCCCCGGGAGCAGCAGUGGGGGUUUUUGGGAAGCAUCCCUACGUGGAUCAUCAUCCUCCAUCAGGAUAUUCCAUAACCCCAGGGGGGCUCUGGAGAGAAGGGAAUCCUGAACAGAUCUGCUUCCCAACAACAGAGAUUUGGGGACUCCCCAACUUGGGGAUGUCCCAUCCAGAACCUUCCCUGCCACCGCCUGGGGAUGCAAUUCCGCAGGAAUCCUUCGGGAACGCGGGGAUGUGCCGCUGGGACCCGGGACGUACCCACACACGCUUCCCCCUCCAGCAGGCAGGAUCCAGAUCCACCCCAGCCCACGGAAACCCCUUUCCCUCAGGGAUGUGGCUGCAUCCCCAGGGCUGGGAUGAGGCCGUGCUCCCCUGGCUGGCCCGGGGACUCCCAGCCCCGGCCGGAGGCGCCUCCGGCUGUGACGCAGCCCCAAAACAGCUUCUGCUUUUGGGGCACCCCAAAUCCCAGCACCCACCUCGUCCUCCAUGGGGCUCCCAGCAGGAGAGGGGCUCCGGGGGGAGCCGAGGGAGCUCUGGGGGCUCUGGGGGGAGCAGGGAACGCUCCCCUCGCUUUGGGGGUGCCGGAAUGGAGCUGCUCGGGGCCAGGAAGUGCCACGGCCACGGCUUCCUCCGUCCCACGUGA
Molecule: long non-coding RNA, 1086 nt
Filed under: Cyanistes caeruleus (blue tit)
Lineage: Eukaryota; Metazoa; Chordata; Aves; Passeriformes; Paridae
Description: lncRNA (ENSCCEG00000011261.1)
Source: RNAcentral